AGUGCAGGCCUUUCAGGCAUCCUCUCCUAAAAACUUUCACGGGCUGGCCUAUUUGGGCCGGCCCUUUUUUUGUGCCUCG
RNAcentral lists this small RNA (79 nucleotides) under Sphingomonas gellani. RNAcentral's name for it is "Makes More Granules Regulator RNA (mmgR)". It matches the Rfam family "Makes More Granules Regulator RNA (mmgR)". Rfam says of the family: SuhB later renamed mmgR (makes more granules regulator) was a putative non-coding RNA found multiple times in the Agrobacterium tumefaciens genome and related alpha-proteobacteria. Lineage: Bacteria; Pseudomonadati; Pseudomonadota; Alphaproteobacteria; Sphingomonadales; Sphingomonadaceae. The record is from Rfam by way of RNAcentral.